RNAcentral lists this ribosomal RNA (700 nucleotides) under uncultured bacterium. Its description in RNAcentral is "bacterial SSU rRNA". It matches the Rfam family "Bacterial small subunit ribosomal RNA", at positions 60 to 803 of the family's 1533-position model. The record is from RNAcentral.
AGUCGAACGGGAAUCUUCGGAUUCUAGUGGCGGACGGGUGAGUAACGCGUAAGAAUCUAACUUCAGGACGGGGACAACAGUUGGAAACGACUGCUAAUACCCGAUGUGCCGCAAGGUGAAACCUAAUUGGCCUGGAGAAGAGCUUGCGUCUGAUUAGCUAGUUGGUGGGGUAAAGGCCUACCAAGGCGACGAUCAGUAGCUGGUCUGAGAGGAUGAGCAGCCACACUGGGACUGAGACACGGCCCAGACUCCUACGGGAGGCAGCAGUGGGGAAUUUUCCGCAAUGGGCGAAAGCCUGACGGAGCAACGCCGCGUGAGGGAGGAAGGUCUUUGGAUUGUAAACCUCUUUUCUCAAGGAAGAAGUUCUGACGGUACUUGAGGAAUCAGCCUCGGCUAACUCCGUGCCAGCAGCCGCGGUAAUACGGGGGAGGCAAGCGUUAUCCGGAAUUAUUGGGCGUAAAGCGUCCGCAGGUGGUCAGCCAAGUCUGCCGUCAAAUCAGGUUGCUUAACGACCUAAAGGCGGUGGAAACUGGCAGACUAGAGAGCAGUAGGGGUAGCAGGAAUUCCCAGUGUAGCGGUGAAAUGCGUAGAGAUUGGGAAGAACAUCGGUGGCGAAAGCGUGCUACUGGGCUGUAUCUGACACUCAGGGACGAAAGCUAGGGGAGCGAAAGGGAUUAGAUACCCCUGUAGUCCUAGCCGU